Molecule: ribosomal RNA, 492 nt
Filed under: uncultured bacterium
Lineage: Bacteria
Description: partial 16S ribosomal RNA
Rfam family: Bacterial small subunit ribosomal RNA
Source: RNAcentral
AGUGAACGCUGGCGGUAGGCCUAACACAUGCAAGUCGAACGGCAGCACAGUAAGAGCUUGCUCUUACGGGUGGCGAGUGGCGGACGGGUGAGGAAUACAUCGGAAUCUACUUUUUCGUGGGGGGUAACGUAGGGAAACUUACGCUAAUACCGCAUACGACCUACGGGUGAAAGCAGGGGAUCUUCGGACCUUGCGCGAUUGAAUGAGCCGAUGUCGGAUUAGCUAGUUGGCGGGGUAAAGGCCCACCAAGGCGACGAUCCGUAGCUGGUCUGAGAGGAUGAUCAGCCACACUGGAACUGAGACACGGUCCAGACUACUACGGGAGGCAGCAGUGGGGAAUAUUGGACAAUGGGCGCAAGCCUGAUCCAGCCAUACCGCGUGGGUGAAGAAGGCCUUCGGGUUGUAAAGCCCUUUUGUUGGGAAAGAAAAGCAGCAGGUUAAUACCCCGCUGUUCUGACGGUACCCAAAGAAUAAGCACCGGCUAACUUCGUG